AGCGGCAGAUGCACAAACCAGAACGGCCGGCGCCGGCCGGGGCCAUCGCCCGCUGCGGCAGCUCCCCGGGCUCCAUCUCGCAUCCCGUCUGCGUUCCGCCUCCCUUGAAAGCGCAUUCCCCACCUCCGCUAAUCCUGUCCUAUUUCCGGUACCCAGCGCGAAAUUCCACUGCUCUUUUGUUGGUGCACAUUUAUUGGAUACCUCCUUUUUCAGGAUAUGUCACCAUAGUCUUUUUUACUGAAAAUUAGUGAAAGCCUAAUUAGAGUGAAAGAGUACAUCUGGAUUUUUUUUUUUCUUGUAGAGGAAAAAAUGAACAUUACUUGUGUAACUGAUGGUAGUUGGAACUGCAUAUUUGCCAAUGUCACAAAAUCUAAAGGAAAAUGUUAUAGUCACCCGUGGUUUCCUUCUUGCCUGGAUGCUCCGUUGUCCCGGGCUGAAAAGGGUAGCAGUACAGUACAUAUAAUGUCAAGUUGCGGGAAGAGUGUGGCAGAUUGUCAUUGAUGCAUUUUUUUGGUGAUGUGUGUGGUUGUUUUGGGGAGUGGGAACUGUUGAGAACACCACAAAUAGAAUAAAAUAAUAUCCGUGAAGUUAUUUGCCCGUUUCUAAUUCGAGACAUUUUUCUAAAAACAGUUGCAAAGGAAAGAUUACAUAGUUUUAAAAAAAUUUGAAGUAUGUUUUUAAAUAACUAAAUUAAUGUUCUUUGAAAUUCCACCAAAAUGAUGAAGUCACCAGAUAGCAGCUGAUAAAAUGUGUCUGAGUCCAGUGCGCCCAGCUCUACAAAAGGCAGAAGAGGAAUUUUCAAAUUUGCCAGUGCCCAGUAAGAGGACAUGAAUUUGCCAGUACCAGAGGAAAUUCUCUUUACAAAUUUUGUCAGAGGUAUCCUUGGAAAAGUAUUUCAUUUGCUUUUACCCUCCAAAUUAUUUUAAUCUAUAUUUUUAAGAGUUUCCAUUCUCAGUUGAGUUUUUCUUGUUCUUCCCCUUCUGUCAGUUUUGAAAGUCUUGCACAAAAACAAUCCAGGUGUUGUUACAGCAGUGUGAUUAAAACCAGGUCAGGCCUACACUGAAAUCCUAGUUCCACCACUCAUUAGCUGUAUGACCUUGAGCAAGUUACUUAACCUCUCUGAUCCCCAAUUGUUGGAUUUUUUUUUUUUUAAAGAGAUAAUCAUAACACUUAGGCCUUGACUCGUUGGCAGAAUUAAAUGAGUUAAGACAUAAAAUGUGCAGCAUGUAUUUGUCAUGUUGUUAGCGCUUCAGAAAUAUAAAUGUAAACAUUUUGGUACUUCGUUUAUGGAGGUUCUUAUACUAGUUAAUUUUAUUCAAAGCAUGGUAGGGAACAAAAGAUCCUUUUCGGAUAACCUGUGUGAGUUAUUUAAUAAAACACUAACACUUUUUAAGGUUCAAAACUGGAUUAAUUAUGUUAUUUUACACCACUUAAAAUGUGCAUUUAAAAAAUAUUCACUGAAGUGAGAGAGAAGUUCCUUUUAAGUUAAUAAGUAAUGGUAAGUUGCAUGAUCCUUUUAACUCAGUUUAAGCAUUUGAUAACACACCUAACCUUGUUUGAAUAAACUCAAUAACAGAAUAUAGAUAAAUAAAAUAUAUAUUUCAUAUGAGUAUGUAUGUAAAUUUAUUUCUUUUAAAGAAAAAUUUCAGGAAACAAAAUGAAUAAGCUCAUAGUCAUAAAACCGCUAGCCAAAGUGUGUCAGUGGUCUGAUUUGUAGGAGAGCAGACUCAGGACUCGGGAAUUUUUUUUUUUUAAGAGACAGGGUUUCACUCUGUCACUGAGGCUGGAGUGCGGGGAAGGGAACGUAGCUCACUGCGGCCUCAAACUCCUGGGCUCAAGCUGCCCUCCCACCUCAGCUUCCCAAGUAGUUGGGAUUACAGGUCCAAGCUGCUGCUCCUAGCUGAAAAGUUUUAAUUAUAUAAAAUGUUUAAAUAAAUUGUUAUUCCUUUCUUUUAUGAAGAAAUAUAAUUGAUAUUCUUGUCACUUAUUAAAUAAGCAACAUUUGUUAAAUAUUUAGCACCUACUGUGAAGAUAGCACUGUGCUAGCUGCUAUGAAUAAACUAGAAUAGCAUAUCACUGUUUUCCUAUGGAUGAAAACCCAGAAAUGUAAAAUAAAUAGCCAUGAAUGGGUUGAGAUUCCCCCUGCCCCGUUUGGAUACUGAUGACAGAAAUCUUAUAUGCACUAUGUAAGCAGUGCCCUAGGAUUAGAACAGAAAGUAACUUGCAAUUUUUAAAGGUAGGAGAAAUGACUGAAGUUUGGAGUGGUCAGGAGUUUCCCGGGAAGUCUCUUGCCUUUGUGACUUUGUAUAACUCCCUCAAACUCUUUGAGCCUGAGCUCCUCAUUUAUAAAAUGGAGGAGUUGAACCUAGCCUCCAAGGUCCUUUCUAGCUUCACCAUGCCCUGGUCUGUUGUUUAAUGACAUGAAUCCAAGAUGGACAACAAAUGGUCGAUUUCGCUCCUUCUACAGUAAACAGAUCUAUCUUCUCAGCAGAAGUAAAAUAGUAAAGAAAGAAGACAUGUUUGAGGCCUGUUGAGGCCUGUUUGCAGGAUGCAUUGUAUCUAAUCAAGGAAUUGAGAAUGUAGCCCUAAAUAUUAGGAAGGAGUUGAAAGUUUCUGAGCAGGAACAGAACAUGCUGAAAGGAAAUUGAGUCAGCAGCAUGGUGUACAGGAGAGCUUGGCAGAGAGAAAGAAGGCAAGAAGACCUGUGGGAGGCAGCCAGUAAGGAGGUGAAGAGGGCCUGGACCAAAGGAAGCCAAGAAUGACUGAAAGAUUUAAAGAUGAAACCCAGAUUUAAAAGUAUCCUCAAGUAUUUGUUUAUUCUUUUCUUAGCAAAUUCUUUUUAGUACAAAGAUAAAAUAUGGCACUCUGAGUCAUAAAAUUUUCUGAAUUUCAGAAGUUGAAUGUUUUUCUGAAUGUAUCAACCUGUUGAAGUCAGUUCCUGUUUGUUAUUUUAGGCAUAUAUUCUUGGGCUUUUUUUUUUUUUUUUCUAGAGAAACUAUUGAGAGGUGACACCGUGCUGGCAGUCCUCACAGCCCUCGCUCUCGGCACCUCCUCUGCCUGGGCUACCAUUUUGGUGGCACUUGACGAGGCCUUCAGCCCACCGCUGCACUGUGGGAGCCCCUUUCUGGGCUGGCCAAGGCUGGAGCCCACUCCCUCAGUUUGCAGGGAGAUGUGGAGGGAGAGGCACGAGCGGGAACCAGGGUUGUGUGGGGCGCUUGCAGGCCAGCUGGAGUUCCGGGUGGGCGUGAGCUUGGCGGGCCCCGCACUUGGAGCAGCCAGCCGGCCCUGCUGGCCCCGGGCAAUGAGGGACUUAGCACCCGGGCCAGCGGCUGUGGAGGGUAUACUGGGUCCCCCAGCAGUGCCAGCCCACCGGCGCUGCGCUCGAUUUCUUGCCGAGCCUUAGUUGCCUUCCCGCGGGGCAGGCCUCGGGACUGCAGCCCACCAUGCCUGAGCCUUCCCCCACCUCCGUGGGUUCCUGUGCAGCCUGAGCCUCCCCGAAGAGUGCCGCCCCCUGCUCCACGGCGUCCAGUCCCAUCGACCACCCAAGGGCUGAGGAGUGCGAGCGCACGGCGCGGGACUGGCAGGCAGCUCCACCUGCAGCCCCAGGUGCGGGAUCCACUAGGUGAAGCCAGCUGGGCUCCUGAGUCUGGUGAGGACAUGGAGAGUCUUUGUAUCUAGUUCAGGGAUUGUAAACACACCAAUCAGCAGUCUGUAUUUAGCUCAAGGUCUGUGAGUGCACCAAUCGACACUCUGUAUCUAGCUGCUCUGGUGGGGCCUUGGAGAACCUUUAUGUCUAGCUCAGGGAUUGUAAACACACCAAUCGGCACUCUGUAUCUAGCUCAAGGUUUGUAAACACAGCAAUCAGCACCCUGUGUUUAGCUCAAGGUUUGUGAGUGCACCAGUCGACACUCUGUAGCUAGCUGCUCUGGUGGGGCCUUGGAGAACCUUUAUGUCUAGCUCAGGGAUUGUAAACACACCAAUUGGCACUCUGUAUCUAGCUCAAGGUUCGUAAACACACCAAUCAGCACCCUGUGUUUAGCUCAAGGUUUGUGAGUGCACCAAUCAAUACUCUGUAUCUAGCUGCUCUGGUGGGGCCUUAGAGAACCUGUGUGUCGAAACUCUGUAUCCAACUAAUCUGAUGGGGACAUGGAGAACCUUUGUAUCUAGCUCAGGGAUUGUAAACGCACCAAUCAGUGCCCUGUCAAAACAGGCCACUCGGCUCUACCAAUCAGCAGGAUGUGGGUGGGGCCAGAUAAGAGAAUAAAAGCAGGCUGCCCGAGCCAGCAUUGGCAACCCGCUUGGGUCCCCUUCCACACUGUGGAAGCUUUGUUCUUUUGCUCUUUGCAAUAUAUCUUGCUACUGCUCACUCUUUGGGUCCACGCUGCUUUUAUGAGCUGUAACACUCACCGCGAAGAUCUGCAGCUUCACUCCUGAACCCAGCGAGACCACGAGCCCACCAGGAGGAAUGAACAACUCCAGACGUGCUGCCUUAAGAGCUGUAACACUCACCGGGAAGGUCUGCAGCUUCACUCCUGAACCAGUGAGACCACGAACCCACCAGAAGGAAGAAACUCCGAACACAUCUGAACAUCAGAAGGAAUAAACUGCAGGCGCGCCACCUUAAGAGCUGUAACACUCAGCAUGAGGGUCCGCGGCUUCAUUCUUGAAGUCAGUGAGACCAAGAACCCACCAAUUCCGGACACAUUUUGGCGACCACGAAGGGACUUUCACCUAUCACCAAGCGGUGAGACAAUCGCCGAGCGGAGAGACUAUCGCCUAUCGCCAAGUGGUGAGAAAAUUGCCUAUCGCCAAGCAAAUCGAGGCCAUCAAGCUACAGAUGGUCUUACAAAUGGAACCCCAAAUGAGUUCAACUAACAACUUCUACCGAGGACCCCUGGACCGACCCGCUGGCACUUCCCCUGGCCUAGAGAGUUCCCCUCUGAAGGACACCACAACUGCAGGGCCCCUUCUUCACCCCUAUCCAGCAGGAAGUAGCUAGAGCGGUCAUCGGCCAAAUUCCCAACAGCAGUUGGGGUGUCCUGUUUAGAGGGGGGAUUGAGAGGUGAUACCGUGCUGGCAGUCCUCACAGCCCUCGCUCGCUCUCGGCACCUCCUCUGCCUGGGCUACCAUUUGGUGGCACUUGAGGACUUCAGCCCACUGCUGCACUGUGGGAGCCCCUUUCUGGGCUGGCCAAGGCUGGAGCCCACUCCCUCGGCUUGCAGGGAGGUGUGGAGGGAGAGGCGCGAGCGGGAACCGGGGUUGUGUGCGGUGCUUGCGGGCCAGCUGGAGUUCCGGGUGGGCGUGAGCUUGGCGGGCCCCACACUUGGAGCAGCCAGCCGGCCCUGCUGGCCCCGGGCAAUGAGGGACUUAGCACCCGGGCCAGCAGCUGUGGAGGGUAUACUGGGUCCCCCAGCAGUGCCAGCCCACCGGCGCUGCGCUCGAUUUCUCGCGGAGCCUUAGCUGCCUUCCCGCGGGGCAGGCCUCGAGACUGCAGCCCACCAUGCCUGAGCCUUCCCCCACCUCCGUGGGUUCCUGUGCAGCCUGAGCCUCCCCGAGGAGCGCCGCCCCCUGCUCCACGGCGUCCAGUCCCAUCGACCACCCAAGGGCUGAGGAGUGCGAGCGCACAGCGCGGGACUGGCAGGCAGCUCCACCUGCAGCCCCAGGUGCGGGAUCCACUAGGUGAAGCCAGCUGGGCUCCUGAGUCUGGUGAGGACGUGGAGAGUCUUUAUAUCUAGCUCAGGGAUUGUAAACACACCAGUCGGCACUCUGUAUUUAGCUCAAGGUCUGUGAGUGCACCAGUCGACACUCUGUAUCUAGCUGCUCUGGUGGGGCCUUGGAGAACCUUUAUGUCUAGCUCAGGGAUUGUAAACACACCAAUCGGCACUCUGUAUCUAGCUCAAGGUUUGUAAACACAGCAAUCAGCACCCUGUGUUUAGCUCAAGGUUUGUGAGUGCACCAAUCGACACUCUGUAGCUAGCUGCUCUGAUGGGGCCUUGGAGAACAUUUAUGUCUAGCUCAGAGAUUAUAAACACACCAAUUGGCACUCUGUAUCUAGCUCAAGGUUCGUAAACACACCAAUCAGCACCCUGUGUUUAGCUCAAGGUUUGUGAAUGCACCAAUCGACACUCUGUAGCUAGCUGCUCUGGUGGGGCCUUGGAGAACCUUUAUGUCUAGCUCAGGGAUUGUAAAUACACCAAUCGGCACUCUGUAUCUAGCUCAAGGUUUGUAAACACACCAGUCAGCACCCUGUGUUUAGCUCAAGGUUUGUGAGUGCACCAAUCGAUACUCUGUAUCUAGCUGCUCUGGUGGGGCCUUAGAGAACCUGUGUGUCAAAACUCUGUAUCCAACUAAUCUGAUGGGGAUAUGGAGAACCUUUGUAUCUAGCUCAGGGAUUGUAAACGCACCAAUCAGCGCCCUGUCAAAACAGGCCACUAGGCUCUACCAAUCAGCAGGAUGUGGGUGGGGCCAGAUAAGAGAAUAAAAGCAGGCUGCCCGAGCCAGCAUUGGCAACCUGCUCGGGUCCCCUUCCACACUGUGGAAGCUUUGUUCUUUCGCUCUUUGCAAUAAAUCUUGCUACUGCUCACUCUUUGGGUCCACGCUGCUUUUAUGAGCUGUAACACUCACCGCGAAGAUCUGCAGCUUCACUCCUGAACCCAGUGAGACCACGAGCCCACCAGGAGGAAUGAACAACUCCAGACGUGCUGCCUUAAGAGCUGUAACACUCACCGCAAAGGUCUGCAGCUUCACUCCUGAGCCAGCGAGACUACGAACCCACCAGAAGGAAGAAACUCCGAACGCAUCUGAACAUCAGAAGGAACAAACUGCAGACGCGCCACCUUAAGAGCUGUAACACUCACCGCGAGGGUCCGCGGCUUCAUUCUUGAAGUCAGUGAGACCAAGAACCCACCAAUUCCGGACACACUAUGAAGUACUAGCUGUACAAGUCAGGGUGGGCUAAGCUGCUAAAACAGAUACCUCCCUCCCCUUCAAUACCCUGAAGAACAAGAAGUUAAUUUUUUGCUCAUGUAACAUUUCAGAGAGGGUAUUCCAGGUUAGCAGCAGCUUUCCCCCAUGUGGUUAUUACAGGAUCCAGGCUUCUUCCCUGCUGGCUCUCCCAGGGCCCUGUCAUUGCCUCUGUGGUUUAGGUUCUGGUGGAGAGUGUGAAGGAGGCUUGUCACUGCUGUUUACUUAAAGGCCUUAUCCUAGAAAUGGCCCACAUCACUUUCACUCAUGACCCACUGGCCAAGUUCUUAAUCAUUUAGCCAAGGAUACCUACAAGGGAGGCUGGAAAAUGUAAUGUAGCCAUGUGCCCAGGAGGGAAAAAAAAUGAAUUUCAGCAGAUGGCUAGUGAUGGCCUCAUUAGUGCUCAGGCUCAAAUGAAAUAAUAAGUCGACUCUUAUUUCUCCUAAAAUAAUUGGAUCUUGACAUUGAAAUUGGUGUGCUGAUUGUAUUUAAUAAGUGACCUCCAAUGCAAUUAUUUCAUUUUGCCAUACUUUAUGUAAUUUUUAUUUUUUCUGCCUUACCUUUCGAUGUUUAAAGGGAAGCAUAAUUAGUUAUUGAAAAGGUUAUUGAGACUUAAAAAAAGAUUUGAACUUGGCUUGGUUGAUGCUACCACACAGAAACCGCAAACAUCCAACUCAACGCUCUUAGUUGCUGCUCAUGAUAGUCUAUGCACAGUGACUGAUGAAUUUAGCCUGUCUUGAGGCUUCAAAACUUAGUCUUAUGUCAUCACCAGCAGAGCAUUAUCCUAAAUUACAGGUUUUCAAUGCGGGGGGAGGGGCAGUUUUGCCCCUCAGGGGACAUUUGGCAAUCUCUGGAGACAUUUUUGGUUGUCAUACCUGGGGGGAUGCCCCUGGCAUCUCCUGGGUUGAGGUUAAGGAUGCUACUAAUCUACAGUGCACAGUACAGCCCCCCCACAUACACACACUACAAAGCAUUCUCCCACCCAAAUUGCCAGGAGUGAGAACUUUGAGAAACCCUGCCCUAGACUGUUAAAUUCAAAAAGAAAUAAUGGUUUAUUGCUCACAGUGUGCCAGGCACUGUGUUAAACUCCCUAUAUUCAUAGUUUCGUUUUUAUCCUCACAACAACCUGUGAAGAAAGAACUCUCGUCCAUCACCACUUUACUGUUGAGGGCACUAAGCCUUCUAGUGGUUAAAUGACUUGCCCAGGGCCACAACUAUUAGAUGUUGCAGUCAGGAUUUAAUUCCAGGCACUUUGUGUUCAAAGUGUUUCUCAUCCACUAUGCUAUAUGCCAGUAAUGCCCAAACCUAACUUUAGCCAGCAAUUGUCUGCAUCUCUUUAGUUUAUGAACAUUUAUUUAUUAGGACAUGCAGGAUAAAUCGUACCAACACAGUCCGUGUAUCCAGAAUUCUAAUUGACCUAGGCAGUGGGAGAGCCUGCCUCUCUAUUUUUUUUUAAAUUGGUGUGAACUAUACAUAACAUAAAAUUGGCCAUCUUAACCAUUUUAAGUAUAUAAUUGAGUGACAUUAAGUAGAUUUAUUAUAUUAUGUAAAUGGACUUAACACGAUUUAUUUCCAGAACUUUUUUAUCAUCCCAAACAGAAACUCUGUACUCAUUAAACAAUAACUCCCUGUUUCCCCAUUCCCCCUUGCCCCAGACACUAGUAACCUCCGUUCUACUUUCCCUCUCUGUGAGUCUCCCUGUUCUAGCUACCUGAUGUAAGUGAAAUCAGACCAUGUUUGAUCUUUUGUGUCUGGCUUAUUCACUUAGCAUAGUAUUUUCAAGGUUUAUCCAUGCGUGCAAAUUCCCUUCCUUUUAAUGACUAAAUAGUAUUUCAUUGUGUGUGUACAUGUGCACACACAAUGAAAUACUAUUUAGUCAUAAAAAGGAAGUUUGUACACAUAUAUACACACACACCAAAUUUUGUUUAUCCAUUCAUCAGUUCAUGGGCAUUUGCGGUUUUUUUCCACCUUUUGACUGUUAUGACUUUCCCUUUAUUUUUAAUCUGAACUUUACUCCAUCACUUCCUCACUUUCCUUUUUUAUUCACACCAUAAUUUUGAACAAGCAGACUUUGUAUUUUCAUUACUCUGGGGAUUUUUUUUGAGGGAGGCUUGCUACCCUUUGGGGUUGUGAUAAGGUUGUGCCAGUAACAGAAUUCAUGCAGUCAAAAACAUUCAUGGGACUUUCUUUUGUGAUAGGUACUAGGGAUGCAGAGAUAAAUAAUACAAGGUCUCGACCUUCAAGGAGCUCAGGGUUUAGUAGGGAAAACAGAGGUAUAAGUAAGUCAUUGCAAUGCCAGGUCCCAGAUAUGGGAGGAUUCCAACAAAGAGAGGAUAAGGCCAGGCACAGCAGCUCAUGCCUAUAGUCCCAACACUUUGGGAAGCUGAGAUGGGAGGAUCACUUAAGCCCAGCAGUUCAAGGCUACCCUGGGCAACAUAGUGAGUGGCAAAAAAUACAAAAAUUAGCCAGGCAGGGUGGCACGUGCCUGUAGUCCCAGUUAUUUGGGAGUUUGAGGUGGGAGAAUCACCUGAGCCUGGGAGAUUGAGGCUGCAGUGAGCUGUGAUCAUGCCGCUGCACUCCAGCCUGGGUGACAGAGUGAGAGCCUGUAUCUUAAAAAAAAAAAAAAAGAAAAGAAA
Molecule: long non-coding RNA, 9599 nt
Organism: Pongo pygmaeus (Bornean orangutan)
Lineage: Eukaryota; Metazoa; Chordata; Mammalia; Primates; Hominidae
Exons: 2
Source: RefSeq, a predicted model, not a curated record